Molecule: small nuclear RNA, 105 nt
Filed under: Mustela putorius furo (domestic ferret)
Lineage: Eukaryota; Metazoa; Chordata; Mammalia; Carnivora; Mustelidae
Description: U5 spliceosomal RNA
Rfam family: U5 spliceosomal RNA
About the family: U5 RNA is a component of both types of known spliceosome. The precise function of this molecule is unknown, though it is known that the 5' loop is required for splice site selection and p220 binding, and that both the 3' stem-loop and the Sm site are important for Sm protein binding and cap methylation.
Source: Rfam by way of RNAcentral
AUACUCUGGUUUCUCUUCAAAUAGUAUAAAUCUUUUGCCUUUUACUAGAGAUUACCAUAAAGAGGAAGAGUUAUGAGGUUUUUUUUUUUAGGGUUUUUAAAAAUA